GUCGUUAAACCACUUUUGCAGCAGCUACACGUGAAUACAUCAAUCAUCAUAAUCCAAUAAUGUAAUAUCCAAGAACAUCAUUCAGAAAUAUGCCAUUCUGUAUAAUGAGUCCUCAUGUUUUAAUCUUACCAUAUGUGUUUCUACAUCUGAAAUGCCGUUUUACCGUAUGUUUUAAUCUUAUUUGAUUUGUCACGUAUGGUCUUUGCUACUAUGAUACUUUUCAUGCUUUUAUUUUGAAGCACACUGAGUUACAAAAAAGCAUGAAUUUUACUUUGGAUACUUUGAGAACGUUUUGGUGCUAAUUCUUUUCCAGUUUUACGUUUGUUAAACAUUUCAGCGUAAGACCUUUCGUUCUAACAGAGUAUUUCUACACUGUGGUAUUGUUACGUUUACAGUACACAUCUGAGUACUUUUCCCAACCACGUCAGAGGCUCAUCACAGGCUGUUCAGGUCAGCUUGAACGCAUCCCCGGUCAAACAGCGCCACCGUGUGGCCAGGUGCUGUAGUGGCAGCCUCACGAGUUAAUGUAUCAUUUAUUAAACCUUCUCAUAUAACUGCAUGGUGGUGCGUUUACUGUUCCAUCUGAUACAAAAACUCAUGAUUUCCUGUCAUCCUGGUACUUAGUGGUUUUCAACGUUGGUAAUGUACUACUUAUAAUACCUACUCCUUUUCUCCUUCCAAAACACAGUGGAAUUACAUUAGUUUGUUUGUUGUGAAAUGUAACUGAGGGUGGACUAGUUUCUCCCCCCCCCCGAGGCGGAGGGAGAGAGGGUGAGGGAGGUGGGAGAAAAGGCGUGUCCCAGGGAACCAGAUACUCCUGAAGAGCUCUUACGGAUCCUUUACGCUCGUGCGGUGGGAAAUAUCGACCAGGCAUUUUGUAGUUCUUUUACGAUUUAACUGGUCAAUUUUAGCCCAAGUUCGGAUAGAAGUCAGACUUGUAGACUCCCUGUCCGUUGAUGUAGACCGGCCUCAGCCCACAUUGAGUUCCUCUGCACAUGGAGACUUUCAGGAUGACCCAGCGGACGUCUUACUAGAAUUAUCUGUGCCGGGAGACGCAGCCCGUUCGGUGUGAUGAAGGAUCGACUGGCUGAACUGGCCGCUAGUAGGACGCAAGCAGAGGAGGAUGUUGCAGUCGCAGUGGACAGAGAUGGCUUCAUGGAGAGCUUCUUCAGGAGGGUGGAGGAAGUCCGAGGGCUCAUUGACAAGAUCUCCCACCAGGUGGAGGAGGUGAGGAAGAUGCACAGCAUGAUCCUGUCUGCGCCCAACCCAGAUGACAGAACAAAGGAUCAACUGGGCGCGCUGACCAAUGACAUCAAGGGGAACGCCAACGUGGUGCGGACCAAGCUGAAAUCCAUGGAGCAGAGCAUGCCCAAAGAUGACGUGGUGAGCAGAUCCUCUGUCGACUUCAGGAUCCAGAAAACACAGCACACGGUGUUGUCCAGGAAGUUUGUGGAGGUCAUGACCCACUACAACGAGACUCAAGUGUCCUUUCGGGAAAGAAGCAAAGGAAGGAUCCAGAGACAGCUGGAGAUAACUGGAAGAGUGACCACCAGUGAAGAGCUGGAAGACAUGUUGGAAAGUGGAAAUCCAUCCAUCUUCACGUCUGACAUCAUUUCAGACUCCCAGAUCACACGUCAGGCCCUAAAUGAAAUAGAGUCUCGACACCAGGACAUCAUGCGUCUGGAGUCGAGCAUCAGAGAGCUCCAUGCGAUGUUCAUGGACAUGGCAAUGCUGGUAGAAACUCAGGGAGAUAUGGUUAACAACAUUGAGAAGAACGUCUCCAACGCAGCUGAAUACAUUUUUAGUGCAAAGGAAGAGACCAAAAAAGCAGUGAGAUACCAGAAAAAAUCCCGGAGGAAAUACAUUAUCCUUGCCUUUGCACUGUUGAUCCUGCUUGCUGUCAUUGCACUAAUUGUGGGCCUGUCUGUUGGACUAACCAAACGGCCUGUAUGAGAACUGCUGAGUUUGCUGCGUGAGGUAACGCUUCACCCAACUCCAACUCCCAUUCCUGAAACACAACAAUCCUCCAUCCAGUCAUCUACAUAUCCAUGAAUUAAUUGAAACUUCUCUGCCUUGCGAUGUGUGGAGUCGCGGGUUUCCUCCUUCUACUCAUCAUAUUAGUUGGACUGUUUGGGUGACGGGUGUCGCGGUUCACAGCCUCACAGCAUUCAGCUUCUUAAUAAGUCAUUCACUCUCCUGAACAGCAUUACAGAGAGGAUCUCUUGGACACAGUAAAUCAACGUGGGGGAUCCACUUUGCACCGCUAACACCAGACCUCAUGACACACUGUCCUGGAGCAACUACACAUAAACAUAAUGAACACUGACAGCACAUCACAUUCAUUUAGAGGUGCACCGAUGGCAGUUUUCUUUGCCGGUUCUGAUUUCCGAUUUUUUUUUUUUUGUAAGCGUGACCUGCCAAUACUGAUUAUAAGAGCUAAGAAACAUGUCAGUUACUUAUAUCAUUUUACAGUAUGCUAAUAACUUCACCAGAGCUGCGGCAAUUUAUCAGAUUUCUGAAGCCUCUGUUCUCAACUAUGGACAACAGCUGAUCAUCCAGGGUCAUGGAUUCCAUAAUUUUCCUUCUAAUUGCUUUGGUCUUUUCACUGCUCACACCAGGGAGGGAUUGGAGAGGCCAUCUGGCUUUUGUCUGGCACUUAGCUCAGGCUGCUUUUAGCUUUAGCCGCUUUUUCAUUUGCUAGCUUCUUCAAACUGAGCAUGCUCAGCUGGGUGAAGGUGUUUCAAGUGUCUGAUUGGGCUUGUUGUUCCGAAUGUUUUCGUGGCUGUCCCCCACGGUUUAUUUUGGCCUUAUGCGUAUUAUGAAUUGUGAGCUUUGUGUUUCUUCUUCACUCACGGUGAAAAACUUCCAUGCUAAAGACAUGUUGAACAUACACAAAAUGGACCAGCUUGGAGUCAGAGAUGUGGGAGACUGGCUGGUCUCCGGUCCGAGCCGAACAUGCUGGAAACCGGCACACUAGAGUACCUGACCAGUCGAUCGGUGCAUCUCUUCAUUUAUAUGCGGGUGUAUGUUCUGGACUGUCGCUGUUUUUUUUGUUUUUUUUUUUUCAUUUUGGGUUUCACUUUGUUGGUCUAAUGCCUUUAAAGGGACAGUCUGACAUUUUGAGAUAAACUAAUGAGCCUUUCUCUUGAGGGUUAGAAGAGAAGACUCACUCUGACUCUCAAGUGUGUGUGGUAAAUAUGAAAGUAUCAUCAGCGGCCAGGCAGCUUAGCUUAGCAUGAAGACUGAAAACAGGAAAAUAUCCAAAAUGACCUUAAGAAUUAACGGUGGGUCAUGUGACUAUUUCUUGGCCAGGCGCACAGGCGAGAGGUGAGAAAGUCCACACUCUUGUCAUUGUGAGGUCUCCAGGUAGCUAGUGGAGGAUCCAUGAAGUCUAGUUUGUCAUUUAUACACUCCAGGUUGUGUACAGAUUAAACAAAGAAGAUGUAAUGUGGAAGGCCGACUUUGUAAGCCUUGGGCAGAACCAGGCUAGCUCCUUCUCCCUGUUUCCCGUCUUUACGCUAAGCUAGGCUAACCAUCUGCUAUUCGUAGCUUCCUUUUAGCUUCCAGAUGUGAGAGUGGUAUCAGUCCUCUCGUCUGACUGUUGUUCAAAUAGGUGUUUUUUUGCCCAAAAUGUCAAACCGUUGAUUUAAUAUUCAAAAUAUGUUGUGAUGAUUGUAAUUCUCUUCAUAAACUGAUUGUAUAAUUUGUGUUUACAAGUUCAAGUGCCCUCAUGUCCUUUUCACUGUAAGAACCGAAUGUAAAACUGCUACAGCUCAGGAGUAUCUAAAUAUAAAAAUUAUAUUCACUGUAAAAACUCCAUUUGUGUCUCAGUCAGAAGAAAUAUUUUUAGAUCACUUACAAAAGUGCCUUCUUGACAACACCGAAUAUAAAACUGUAACUUAUUGAACUGUGUUUGUCGCGAUGAUGGUGUGUGAUGAUAUAUUGAAAUAUUAGUUGUGAAAAAAGUCGUGCUGCAACGUAGGACUCUUGGAUGAUGUUAUUUCAAGAGCACACUUUUUCAUUUUGAUACAUUUGACUCUUUCAUUUUGUAAUCUAUAUAUCAUAUUUUAUAUUGAACCAUAAUAACUAAGUAAUGUAAUUAAAAAAUAAAACACAAAAGGUCUUUGCAGAA
This is an RNA transcript of Scatophagus argus, 4132 nucleotides long. It is a transcript of the gene named syntaxin 2b, with no coding region annotated. The transcript is spliced from 11 exons. The record is from RefSeq and is a predicted model, not a curated record. NCBI's taxonomy places the organism in Eukaryota, Metazoa, Chordata, Actinopteri, Scatophagidae.